RNAcentral lists this long non-coding RNA (22694 nucleotides) under Vitis vinifera (wine grape). Its description in RNAcentral is "long non-coding RNA (VVIN_LNC003710)". Lineage: Eukaryota; Viridiplantae; Streptophyta; Magnoliopsida; Vitales; Vitaceae. The record is from RNAcentral.
ACAAAAAAAACGAAGUCAUUAUUUGCACAGGUGUAUAUGGGUGAUUAUGAUACAAUAAUAAAAAGGCUAAAGCAAACCUUUUCUUUGACACCGUCAACAACAGCCCACAUAUACUUGUCUUCUUGUUUCAAUUUCUCUUCUUUUAAGGCCUUCUUCUCCUGCAUCAACCAUAACCACUGAAUUAAAAAUUUAAAACAGAAUAGUAUGAUCAACUAAUUCCACUAGUUAAUGCCCCUAGAGAGAGUAGAGAAGCAAAACUAAAUGCAUGCACCCAACCCCAGAUAGUUGGAAUUAGGCGUUAACUAGAGUAAAAUGUUCCAAACUAAAGACUACAUCCUAUUCAAGAUAACAGCAAUCUUGGAAGAUAAAGUCCAUCAUCAGUGGACCUCAGACCUGAGUUCAAGCUCUAGCAGAGUUUUAAUACCUCCUUCACCUGUUGUUCACCUUUAGAAGUAAAAGACAUGCAAGAAUGUAUUCACAGAACUCAGUUUCCAGAAUGCUGCUUAUAUUUUGUACUUUAAAGACAGACAGCUCCAAUGAACAGUGUAUCAUGCGAUAGCUAAUGGAUUCCUGAAAUGACACAUCACCAAAACUAGUCCCAAAAUAUAGCAUUUGAAAGAGGAUUCAGCCAUUGCAUGCAAUUGCUUGUCUCAGUCAAAUCAUCACUUCUUACUAUCAGAUAGCCUUUGGUAUAAUAAACAACUUAAGAUAGUAGCUGCUUGGAUGAAUUCUUGGAAGGUAUAAGAAUUAGUGUAAAAAUAACCAAUGGAGUCAAACUUAAUAAAACAGUCACUUAUAAAAAAUAAAAAUAAAAAGGUUCUUUGCAUGCAAUUAAAAAACACAUCAAGAUACAACACAGUUUUCUUUCAUUAUUUUUCAAUCAAAGUUAAUAGGGUAUUCAAGGACAUCUCAACUUACUUCUGUAGUCAUUUGCUUUUUCUUCUCCUUUUCCUUCUCAUGCCAUUCAUAUAUUGGAGUGAAAUCACAAAGUUCAAACUUCUUAAUUACAUGAUUUUUUCCAAGUCUCACUCUCCAAUCAUUCAUGAAGUUCUCUAUAAAUCUCGGUUUGGUUGCAUAGUCUGUAUCUUUCAUUACUGCAAACAUUGUUGCAACCUGCAUAUUGAAAGAACCAGGAGAAGUGGAAAUAUACAAUACGUAUAUUAAUGAGAAAUUCAAAGUGAACUCGCAAUAAAUCUGAUAACACCAAUAUUUCUAAUGACAAUAGAACAUGUGAUAACUGGUGAUGACACAUGAAACAUAAGAAAAAAAAGUAAAAAAAAUAAAUAAUAAGGUACCAAACUAUAGACAUUCUGAGCCCCACCUCCUCCUGUUCAGGAGUCAAAUCAACUGGGCGACCAUUGUAGAGCAUUUUAACUCCAUGAGGCUUGUAGGGAGGUGGAAAAAUAACCCCAUUGUGCUCCAAUGUAGUCCACUUCUGUCCUUCACCAGAGUUGGGAGGUACUUUUGUUGACUUGGAGUAUUUUGAACUCUUUGCCAAUUUCUUGGAUUUCUUGGCUUUCUUGGUUGCCUUCUUUCGUGAUGAGGGGAUAACUUUUGUUUUCGAUGCUUUUUUAUUAUCUGAGGAAACUGACUUCUUCAGUCUCUUGACAGUAGGAGUAUACUCAUCAUCAUCAUCGUUGUCGUCGUCAUCGUCAUCCUUUUGCUCUGCUUUCACAGAUACUUGCUUUACUUUGCCUUUAACAGAUCCAUCCAAAAGCUUUGGUUUUUUAGAUGAAGAAUGGUGUGAAGUAUUCGCCUGACCUAGAGGCCUCUUGUUCUGACCUUUGGGAGAUUUUACCCGUUCAUCAUCUUUCUUACUGAUGCCAUUGGGUUUCAGUGUAGAAGUCAAGGGCUUCUUCUCAUCAAAGUUAUCCAGUUUAUCCAAAGAUGCCCCCAUACCAGUUUUCAAUCGGAAUUUUGAUGACAAAGGGAUUUCAUCUUCUGAAUCAUCAGAAAGGUUCUUGUUGUUGACCUUAGCCUUCUGAGAUUGUGGCCGGCUAGAAGCAGGUGAACUGAGCCCCUUUGAGUCAAGCAACUUGCUUGAAGAUGCCCCUUUCCUGGAUUUCAAUUGUAACUUUAAUAACAAAGGAAUUUCAUCUUCUGAAUCAUCAGAGGACUCCUUGACGCCAACCUUCGUCUCUGGAGGAUGUGAGCUAAGAGAAGGUGAAUUAAGUCCCUUUGAACCAAGUGACUUUCCAGAAGAAGACCUCACAUAGGUUUUCAAUGGGAAUUUUGAUGACAAAGGAACUUCAUCUUCCGAAUCACCAUCAGACUUCUUGACAUCAACCUUAGUCUUUUGUGACUGUAAUACCGGGGAACUAAGUCCCUUUAAAACAUGGGAAUUGCCCUUUGGUAAUCGUGCAGAAAGUUUGGCACUCAAUGGUUUAUCAUCUUCAGAAUCCUCAGACUCACCAUUUGCAACAGGAGGAUUGAUCAAUUGCUUAUUCUCCAUAUAGAACUGGCUGAAUUAUGUCUUGAUAACUGUUUUGAACUUUCAGCAAAUGAAACAAAUGCAAUUGAGUGCAUUACAUAUGUCUUUUUUUGUGCCUUUGAAAGCAAAUCAGUUUUAUACCACAGCAGGCUUGAGCUUUGACCAUUUCCUUUGAUACGUAGCUGUUCCUUUUGAAAACACAAGAUAAAUCAUCAACAUCAUCAAACAUUUUUGGUGAGAGAAAAGACAGGAUAGCUACAUUAAUCUUAGCAGUGUGGCAUGUAAAUCAUGCAACCACUACAGAUGUCAUUGCUUUUGAACCACCAAGAAAUUAUACACCACAUAAGAAAACAAAUCACCUCCAACAAAUCUAACUAAUAAAGAAAUUUCCAGUAUUAUUUCUAUAAGUAAAUCCAAACAUAUAGUGGAUGAUAUAGAACCACUAACUUAGUAGAGCAAUGACAAAAUUGUAAAAGAAAAAAGCCAAAACAAAUAAAUAAAAAGAAACUACCACCAAAAUACUAUUAUCAGAUAGAUGGUGUAGCACAAGGAGCUAAUAUGGAUUGGGUUUCCCCUAGGAGUAUUGGAGAUAUGAUGGUUAUUUCAUUUAGAAGGUUAGGGAAUUCAAUCAGAGGCAAGAUUCUUUGGCAUAUCGCUUGCCUCAGUGUACUAUGGAUUGUGUGACAAGAGUGAAACGCUAGGAUUUUUUAGGAUAAGUACAGCACGGAAGGGAUGUUGUAGGAUCUUCCUCACUUCUACUCCUCCUUUAGGGCCUCUUGUACUGUCGCUUUUAGAGGAAUUCCACUUGAUGUUAUUCAACUAAGUUGGACAUCAGUUUGUAACAUGAAAGGGGUGGAUAAAGUUUGAGAGCGUUUGAUUUUGGUUUUUUGUGACAUUUUGUAUAAGUAUUCAUCUGUAGUUAUCAUUGUAUAGUGGAGGAGUAUAGUCUUACUUUAAUUAGGUUUUGUAUUUUGUGGGAAGGACCUCUCAUCCUUCUCUUGAACUUUACUAUUAUCAAUAUAUAUUUCAUUUCUGUAAAAAAAAAAAAAAAAAAAAAAAAAAAUUCAGGUCAGUACUGGAAAUCGCACAACUUAGAAGGUUCAAAAGUUUGGUGCACUUAAGAAGCUCAAAACAGUAUGCAAUGAAUAAGUACACACACAUGUAUAGAAAUCUAUUGAUAGAAAGGGUUUAGAAUUUCAUGGUAUAGCCAAAAUAUUGAAAAGAAACCCUAAAUUAUCAACCAAUAGAGUGUUAAUUUAUGUAUGAAUAAUAUCAACUAGUAACCCUUUACUCUUAGAUAUGCUUGAGAGUGGUUUAAUACUUAGUAUUCUAUAUAUAAAUGAAUAUUGUUAUUCUAAAUAUCAUCACCUAAUAUCAUCUACUUCUUUCUAUUCAUUAUAAACAUUCCAUAUGUAAGAACAUUUUAGUUUCUUUUGUCAGUUUGACUAGUCUAAAUGACUAAAUCUACUUUGAUGAUCAAUUGUGCUACAAUCACAGUUUGGGUCUUCCAUUGUGGUGUGGAGUGGGGGAACUUCCUACCCCCUAUUUGAGUCGUCCAUUGGGUGCCUCCUUUAAGUUGUCCGUGGUUUGGGAUGUGGUGGAUGAAAGGUACCAUAGGAGUUUUGCUCUUUGAAAUUGGCAGUAUCUUUCAAAGGGUGGGAAGCUUACAUCAAUUAAAAGUACCAUUUCAAGCUUGUCAAUUUACUCCACAUCCAUAGUAGUCAUUACUAGAAAAGCGAGCAUGAGACUUGAGAAGAUUUAGAGAUGCUGGCUCUAGGGAGGGGGGGAGCCAGAAAGAAAAAGCCUCAUCUAGCAAAAUGGUAGAUUGCAUGCAUGGCUAAGAAGUAAGGUGAAUUGAGCGUUAGAAAUUAUCUAUUCUCAAGUCAACAAGGCCCUUUUUGGCAAACAGUGUUAAGAGGUUUACUCAGAACAAGAUCCUCUAUGAAAGUGGAUUAUAGUGGAGAACUUUGGGAAGGAUGCAGAGAGGUGGUAUUCUUGUGGCAUGAGGUACAGGUAUGGGAUAGAGUUGCGAAAGGAUAUAAGGAGAUGAUGGAUUAAUUUCAAAGGUAGAACAUGCUUAAACAUAGGUGAUUGUAGGAGAGUGAAGUUUUGGAAAGAUGUUUGAUAUGGUGACUCAGUCUUGAGCAUCUCCUUUCCCUCACUAUUUGCCAUUGCUACCUCUAAUGAUGCUUAGGUUGUGGAUGUGCUAGAUGAGGCAUGUGAGGGAGGUUGCUAGAGACCCUAUUUCUUAAAACAGUUGAAUGAUUCAUAAUUGGAAAAUGAUGCGGCUUUUCUUGUAAGGCCACAAGAGAAAUUAGUGAAAAGGGAAAAGAGAGAUAGAUUAUUUUGGUUGGAUAUAAAGGACAGAAAAUUCUCAGCCAAAGCCUACUAUUCUCUCUUGGAGCAGGUGAGACCAUGAGAGGAGGGUCAUUUCCUCUGAAUCUAGUUUGGAACUCUUGGAUGCAGGUGAAAGUAGGGUUCUUCACAUUAGAGACAGUUUAGGAGGGAAUUUUGACUUUGUAACAGUUAAAAAAGAAAAGGAUGAACAUUAGCAAAUAGUUGCUACUAUGCAAGGGAGAAGAAGAGUUGGCUGAUCAUAUCCUUCUCCACUAUGCUAGAAUGAGGAUCCUAUGGCACUCAAUUCUCUCUUUAUUUAGCUUUGAGCGGGUGCUACCUUCUUCAAUUAAAGAAAUUCUGUUAUCUUGUCAUGGGACUUUUGCAGGUGACAGACAAAGGAAAGGGUUGCUCUACUGUGUUUAUUCUAGACUAUUUGGACAGUAACUGAAAUAGUGAUAAAGAAUGAGAGAUGAAGCUCAGUCGAACUGAUAAGAAAAGAGAUCAAACUGAGAAUCUCACUCCAGGGAGUGAGCAAAGAACAGGAUGGAAUCCCGAGUGUUAGGCGUCAGGUUGGUUCGACGUAGUUUACUCUUAUGCUUGGCACGGGACUGUUGAUUCAAUCUCAAAGCAAUUUCGGAGACAGGAGCGAAGACUUUCUGACUGGCUAAUCUUAUGAUUGAUGGUUCCGAUGAAAAAUAUGACUUGGAAUUCCCAUCAGAAGCUAAGAACGGUAAGCCGUCAGGUCAAAGUACGUAUUUGAGGAUUGCCUCUCCAUGACAGAUGGCUUCCUCCUCAUUUGCCAAUAAAAAAGACAAAUAGGCGGGCCCUUCUGCUUGGGUCAUUAGUGACUACUGGACCCUCCGCAUAAUCAUUGAUUAUUGACUUCUCCGUAAUCGAACCUGCCAUCGACACCGCCUCUUCCCCUGUUGAUAACCUGGCCUUGGAACUGGCCUAUGUAUGGUCUCUCCACUAAGCUUUGGUCUACGCGCACUAGAAGGGAGAACCGGGGAGGUGUCUGUCCUCUAUUUAAGAGAUUUUCGAAGGAAUGCCCGACUCUCAGUCAAAGGGGAGCGGUACAUUAUGCGAAAACUGUUAUGGCGCUGAAUGAACCGAUACGAGAUCUAUGCCAAUUUCAUAGAGCUAGUCUUGUACUAAUAAUACAAAUAAGGCAUAUAUUCGGUGCCCCAAAUCACUUCUCCUAAAAGGGGACCCAUUUAUGCCUUAUUGACGCGAACUGGUCUCUAUCGUAUCGAUCCAGAGGGAAUAAUCUUGGUCCAAACCCCAAGGAAGGGAGAUGGUUAUCGAGGUUUGCAAAGUCUAAAACUUCAGCAUGUUGGAUGCACCCAAACCCCGUUAACCAAAAGGCGAAUAGUUAGCCGAGGAAGAAUAAGCUUUUUGCCCGAUAGGACGGAAUCAAUCGCAACACAAUGGAGGAGGAGCGGAGCGGGCAUAGUUGGGCCUAAAGAGGCGAAUAGGAUCAGCACGAAUAAAGACUUUCAGGCGAAAAAGGGGAGUUUUGGGCCGGAUGAAAAAAAGCGAGUAGGCAAGGGGCGUAGCGAGUAACCAGCUAAUCGAAGUUCCUGUCCCCCUGUACAUGAAGCCUGGGAGCACCCGCUGGGAAGGUGCCUGGCAGGAGAUAAAAAAGAAAAAGCGGUGAUAAGCCGAGUAGACUUAGCUGCAGAACUAGCUCUUUCAUUCGCCGAAUCAAUAGAAGAAUAGCCCUCUGACCACGCAUGUCUGAAUGAGCAGUUCAUAGGGUACUUCGGAGUGAACGGUGCGCUCUCGCUCUUUUGAUACACAAAGGUGCGCUCUCACUUUCUCCCUGGGACAAAGCAGUGCGCUCACUCACUGACUGCUUGUUGUCCUGAUAGGGUAGCUUCUUCGCAUCUUUCCCCUGUCCGAAGUGGAUUGGCAAUACCAAUAAAUCUCACCGAACAAACUCCUUGUCAAAGCCGUAAAGCCAUGCGUCUUCGACCAACCAGGACCUGCCUAUAGCGUUUGGGUGGCGACCUACUAGCGUAGUAACAGAAAGGCAUCGACGUGGGCACUGAGACUUGUGUUCCAUCACUAAGAAAGGGAUUCUCGUUAUCUAAGUCAUUCCCAUUGGCAGGAGGCACGCCAGCAUCUCUACAAAUUCGUCGAGGAGAGUUUUUCACUAAACUUGAAGGAAAAAAGAUUGAUUCAUCGCCCGGAAAAGAAGAGAAAAGAGCCCUUCUCUUUCUAGCCAUUCCGUUACGAGACUUCUCAACCGCCUUGACAGCACCAAGUUGACUUGCCGCUCGACCCAAUCUUGCGAUUUCCGAUGAUGAAACCGUGCGCUUGAAAAUGUGAAGCAGCUGGGCCAUGCUACCAAAAGCUCGUUCCUGAAUUCUUUCUGACAAUGGAUUAGGAAAUUCCUAGAUGGUGCCUCUUCAUCUAUAUUAGCUCUUGGUGUCUGAAUGGGCACUUAUUAAUGAGAGGGAUGUGUUUUUUGUUUCUCUCUUCUAUUUCUUUGCGUACAUUGGUCCACCCCUUUUUGUUUAGACAUUGUUAACAAUAUUCUUGUUUGCCUACCAAAAAAUCACAGCUUUGCCACAAGAAAAAAAUGAAUCAUACAAAUUCCUAAACGAAGUUUCAAAGCAGAAGUUUCCAUCUAAUAUAGAGGAUUCUUGCAACUGAUUAGAGAAAUAUAGACAUACAUCUGGAGGAAUAAAAGAAAAAAGUAGAGAGACACCAGAAAGAAUAAGUAUAGCAUAAAUUAUCUUUAAUGAAAAUCCAUCCUUGCUAUCACCUUGGAAUGACAAAUGCAAUGUAAUCCAAUAUGAAUAAGAUACUUAAUCAGAGAUAUUCAAAAUAAAAACAUGGAAUUCCACAAUUCCAAAAAAAAAAUGAAGAACUGAAAAGAAAUGUGUCUUGGUUCAAGAAAUUAUCUUCUAAAAGUCAAAGAUUAGAAUAUGCAUGCAUUUUGAUGCUUGUCAUCACUACUUUAUCCAAUUCCUUAAAUCCCAUAACAAAGCAUUUCUCCUUAAAGUAUUCUGUAUGCCUUCUAUAAUGCAAAAGGAAUUGUUAACCCCAAAAUGAGAGCCUCACAGGGGUGCCUCAUAUGAAAAGAGUAAAAGGCUUCAAGCCAUGUAAUGCUGUUACAAGUAAGUAUUUUCCGAGGUUAAUCUAUCUUUCAACAAUCAAUAAAGAGAAAAACAGUGCAUCUCAGCUAUAUAUGAACUAAAUCACCAACCUAAAUAUGAUUGUUUUUCUGAUUUAUCAAUGAAUAAUCAAUGACAAACAAAGCCCUAAAAGCUAAAAUACCAAAUGAGGCUUGGGGGGUGGGAAUUUUUAAGGGACCUGUGAUUAGAACAUGAAACUAGCAUACAUUAUACAAGGCAAAUGUAACAACAAUUCCCUAUUAACUAAAUAAUCAAAUCAAAUCAAAUCAAAUAAUUAGCCAAAUAUUUGAGAACUCCAGCAAUCAACCUAAAAUCCACCCAGUAACAAACAGAAUCAAAAUCCAUCGUAACAAGUAAAACUCUGAAUUAUAAGUCAAAAUAACAUACAACAAACACCUAACAACCCAAAUUUCAAAAAAUUAAACAAAACCCAUUCCGUUGAAGCUAAAAAGGGGAAAGAAACUGGCAAAGAGAACGACAAAUUUUCGUCCUUAUAGAUUUUAGAUUUCAACUAACAAUCCGAACAUCAAAGCAAUACCCAUUUCAGUAAAGGCUCAAAAUGUUACAGAAAUUUACAAUUUCUUUCAGAAAAAUGUCGUUCUUUUAGGUUUUGAAUUUCAACCAGAAACCUUAACACUUCACGAAAACGAAUGAAACAAAGAUAUGGACGUGGAUUUAGGGUUUGCCUUCUAUAUUGCACCAAAAACCCAGUCAGAAAACAACAAAUAGAAACAAGAACAAAAUUCAGCAUAUGAAUGCAGACCCAAAAUCUAAACUUUCUCCAUUUUCUUACCCUUUUUCGUUUUUUUUCAGCUCCCGUGUUUUUAUUUUUUCCCCUCUAUCUAGGCGCCUGUUGUGUUGUUGAGCUUCUUCUUCCCUUUGUCAGUCACUGUGCCUCCCUUGUUCUCGCUGAGGAAUGUCUUCAUAUCUUUUGAAGCCGUAAUGACCAAAAUGCCCCUGGAUUCGUGUUGAAUUCACUGGCAGGACCAAACUUUUUUUGGCCUUCUGCAGUUCUGCAGGUGAAUGAGAUAAUGGAUUGGGCUUGAAGUGAAACUAAGAAGGACCCUGUGAAAGACACAGAAGGGUGAUUUCGUAAUAAAUUAAAUCCUCUGUGGGCAUUUUAAAUACCAAAUGAAUUUUCAAAAAUAUGUGACUGUUGCAUGCAAUAUGGCUUAGUGUUGGAAAAAAACAACCUACGACAUGGCAUGAUUAAAGCUUAUCUUUAAUAAAAAUGUCCGGAUGUAAAAUGCAAACAAAAGAAAAAAUAGAAGAAAAAAAGGGUAAAAAAAAUAAUAAUAAAAUAAAAUCAAUAAAUUGAUUUUGUACCAUACUUCAAACUUAUUUUAUUUAUUUAACUUAUAUUUAUAAAAAUUAAAUAAUUUACAAAUUUACAAAUAUAUUACUCAUUUAAUCAUAUUUAAUUUUUUUAUUUUUAUAAUAAAAUAAAAUACCAUAAAAUCAUUUUCUUGUGUAUUUUUUUUUUCUUACUUCUUUUUAUGAAUCAAAUAUAAUCAUAAUAUCAAUAUGAAAAAUAUAAAGGUACUGAAAUGGUAUUUAUAAAAUAAGAUAUUUCUCCAUAAAACACUAUAAAUAAUUUUUCAACAGAUUUUCAUAUUUUUAAAAGUAUUUCCUAAAUUUUACCAAACACCUAAUUUUUUCAUAAACACUUUUUAGAUCAAAAGAGCUUCCUACCAAACCGAUCCGAUUAUCCUCUACAAAGAGGUUUAUGAUAAAAAUAUAAUUAAUAACAAAUUUAUAGACAAAAACAAAUUUACCUUAUUGGCUUCAAUAGAAAUUAAUUCCUUGACAAUUAGAAAGAGCCCUUUGCAACCAGAAAAUGCUUUUAGAUUUAAGGCGCUUCCGAAAAUCACUACUAAAGGAUCGACUAUCCUCUACAAAGGGGUUUAUAAUAAAAAUACAACUAAUAAAAAAUUUAUAGACCAAAAACAAAUUUACCAGAAUGGCUUCAACAGAAUUCCUUUAGAAAGAGCCCUUUGCAGCCAGAAAAGGCCUCCAUGCUCCAUUGCCCAAGUCUGUAUGUUUGGAAGUCAUGGGCCGCAAAGGCCUAAGAAGUGGAGAUGACUUCUAGUUCUAUGGGUCACAAGCUAUGGAUGGACCAAAUUGUGGAUUUGAUGGGCUUAUAGGCCCAUAUGUCUCUGUUGAAGCGUAGAGCAACUUCGUAUGAUGUGCUCUUAUUCUUUUUAGAAUAACUUAAGCAUUCUUUUAACAAAAUAUUUUGUAUUUGUUUGGUUAAUUUUUUAAAAUAAAUUUAUUGUAAUAUCUCAUAUCAGAUAAGAACGAAAGUUUUUAACGCUAUAUAUAUAUAAAUUUCUCUUAAUCUUAUACAAGCGUUUAAAAUUGUGAGGACUCAUUUGGGCUUACAAUAGACAAUAUUUGUAUGAUUGAGUGCGAGUCAUUAUAGAAAUGGUAUUAGAGUUGAUCUCGACUCUGGGGUGUGGAUUUGUUUAGGUUCAUAUAAGGUGUUUGUUUGUUUGACCUUAUAAUCCUCCGACACAAUAAUAACAUUGUAUCACAUGAAAGGUGUUUGUAAUAUCUCAUAUCGAAUAGGGAAAAAAAAUUUUGACGCUAUAUAAGUAUCGUUUUAAGAUCAUAAGGGCCAUUUUAAAAAGAGCUCUAUAUAAGGUACUUCUAAUAAGAACCUUAUUUAUUAUUUAAUAAAACUUUUAUAAUAUUAACAUUAUAUUAAAAAAAUUAUAUUAUUCACUUUAAUUUGGGGUUGAUUGGAGCCAAAUAAAUCGAUAAUGAAAAACCUAAACUUUUACCAACAAGUCAUUUUUCUACGUAUUUUAUUUUGAAUAUUUUUCCACAUGUCUCAUAAAUGGAUUAAAAAUCAUGGUGGGCAAUUUAGUGCCAACUUUAAGGAAAAUCAAUUUAAUUUGGGCUAUGUCUGGUUUCCCCAAAGUACUAAAAAAAGAAAAACAAUGUUAAGAAAAAUGAUUUUCUCUUAUUUGGCUUCACCAUAACUUUUUUUAAAGAAAAUUAUAACUAAUUAAAAUUAGUUAUAAAUUUAUACAUUUUAAAAUUGUUGAAUCUUGAUAUGAUAGAUGAAAUUAAGUGAAAUGAAUUCGAAGAAAUAUAUAAAAAUAAUUUAUUAAUUUGAAUCUAUUUUUUAUUUUCUUUCAUUUUUCUUUUGUUCCACUUUUUCUCUUUAUUUUACUUCCAUCACAUUUUUUUCUCAAAAUUUUUAGUAACCAAACAUAAUAAAAUGAUAAAUCAUUUGUUACAAAAGCAUGUUUUGUUUAGUGUGGAAUUUUCUCAAUCAACUGAACAGGAUUUUUUAUUUUAUUUAUUUAUUUAUUUUCAAAUGAUAGUAAUAGACCAAAACCCCUUGGUUUCAAAUGUACCCCAUAAAAGGUACACGGUACACCACAGAAGCUAAUAAUGAACCGACUGGGUAUUGGUUGAGUCCAAUCAAUGCGGCAAUAACACUCUUCUUGUAGCCGGUUUCCCACAAAACCUUCCAACUUUGACCCAACAGAAAUGAUAUUCUAUUAUUAUUAUUAUUAUUAUUCUUAAUAUAUAUAUAUAUAUAUAUAUAUAUAUAUAUAUAUAUAUAAAAGGCUCACUUAAUUCAAAUUAAAGUCCUCUUUUAGUCCAUAUGUUAUAAAAUAAGUUUUGUUUUAUUUUAUUUUUAUAAGUGAUUUUUAUCCGGUCAAAACCAUGUCAUGGUUACCUAGGAUUUUCUUUCAUAAAAAUCGGUUUGGUACACUAAUCAUGAGACUUCUGCUUUUUAAGAUUCAACCACCGACCCAAAAUCAUGAGACUUCUCCCUUAUCCGACACAGAUUGAUGUAAUGAAAGUCAAACCGAAAAAGGAAAACUCAACUUUUUUAUUUUUUCAGAAAUUUUAUUAUAUAUAAGAUAAGAUCUGAUUGCCUAAUGAAAUAAAAGCCAGCCUUCCAACACCCAACUACAAUGUGGGUCACGUCUGCAUGCUUCUUAAUGGUUGCUCUCUCUAGCAACAUCUCUUAUUGCCUAUAAAUGGAGGUCAGGAGGCACUGGUGUACAUACUUCAUCCUUCUCCAGCCCUUUCUUUAAGAGUUCACCAUAGGGAAAAUGGGUUCCAAGGCUUUUGUUUUCCUGGCUCUUUUAUGGGCUGUUCUUCUUCUCAUCUCUUCAGAGGUGGCCGCUAGGGACUUGGCUGAGACCUCCACUGAACAAAAAAAGAGUGAGUUUGCUUCAUUUAUUUAUUUAUUUUUCCCCAUGUAACGCUGGUUUUGUCAUUCAUACACUAUAUAUGAAUGUAUGAGUGAAUUAUCAGUAAGGAUACCUAUACAUGGAGAGUGGACUUUCAGUCUAAUAUAAGCUUCCAAAUACUCAACUAUUUUUAUUAACCUUAGACUAGAACCAUAUAUAGAUUCUAUCAAAGGAACCUCUUGAGUUAUAUACAUGUUUAUAUAUGCCUUAUACUGCUAUAGACAAAUGUCUAUUACAUUAAUUUGAUAUACCUCAAAACUGCAGCUGAGGUGGCAGCAAAGACAAAUGGGGUAGAUGAUGCCAAGUACCCUGGCUAUGGAGGGUACCCAGGUGGCGGAAAUGGAGGAUACCCAGGUGGGGGAUACGGAGGAUACCCAGGUGGCGGAAACGGUGGAUACCCAGGUGGCGGAAACGGAGGAUACCCAGGUGGCGGAAACGGAGGAUACCCAGGUGGCGGAAACGGAGGCUACCCAGGUGGCGGAAACGGAGGCUACCCAGGUGGCGGAAACGGAGGCUACCCAGGUGGUGGAUAUGGAGGGUACCCUGGCCGCGGAGGCUCUGGCCGUGGAGGUUAUGGUGGUAAUCAGGGCCGUGGAGGCUAUGGAGGAGGGUAUUGCCGGUAUGGUUGCUGCAGUGGUGGGUCCUACGGAAGAGGUUGCAGGAGGUGUUGCUCUUAUGCAGGUGAGGCUGUUGAGGCAGAAACUAAAGCCAAGCCUCAGAACUGAAGAAGCAAAUGAUUAUCAGUUAAUUAGCUAUAUUGCAAUAUCAUAUGUAUAUUAUUGCUUGUGUAGUGUGUGUACCAAUAGGUCCAAUACUUCAUUAGAAGUGCUUGUGCAUUACUGUGUACCAAUACUUCAUGAGAAGUAGUAAUAAAAUCAUGGGUGGAUGCUUAGGUCUCCACACAUGCUCUACCUGGUUAAUUAAUGUAAAAAUAUUGGACAUAUCCUUGUGAUUGUCCAAAUACUUAAAAUGAUCAUGUCUUGUUUAGUAGCAAAAUCAACAACCCUUUUGUCUUUAAUUAAAGAAAGAAAAAAUAGCCAUUUUCAUUUUGCUAUCAUAGAUUUUUACUUCAUUUGAAAAACUAGCUUUGAUACAAACGGAUGGAGACAGAGAGCCUACUGUAAGCUUCAGUGAUGAGGCUCAUUGCAUUCAAUGCCAUUUUUUUUGUCUGAAAUAUUGAAUGUAGUUAUCUGCAUAGCAUAGGGACUAGAGGCAUUGUUUUCCCUUUCAAAAUGUGGUUCACAAGUUGCCAACAAAAUACUGGGGUGUAAGAGGAGGCAUACAAAAUUAAAUGGAUUAUGGCUCCCUGGGAUGAGCCCCGCACCAGGCACAUAGUGAUGGAGGCAAUAUUAAUGAGAACUGACGAACCAUUGAUGAAUAAAUUCUAAGAUCCGAGAGUGCAUGUGUCAUGUGUCGAAUUCUAGGCAAUCCAAAACCCAAAUCAUGACUCCAAGUCAAAAAUUUGACCCUAACGGUUACUUCUAUCUUAGCUAGCAAUCAACUAGUCAAACAAUUUCCUCUAAAUAGUUUAGUCUUAAAUUAAUAAAUAAAAUAAUACUAAUAACUAUAAUACAAGAAUCAUCUAUAGGUAAGUCUUAAUUACUAAUAGGGUCUCCAAAAAGCCCACAGCCCACAGCUCGGCCCAGGCCCGAGCCCAUUUCUGGGAUGGGCCGGGCCACGACCCCCAAUUUAGGCCUGGGCCGGCCCGCCACUUAAAAGAAAUGUAUAUAUAUAUAUAAAAAAAAAAGAUAUUCAAAAAAUAGAAAAUGCUACAUUAAUAAAAAUAUUCAUUGCUAACUAUUUUAUUCAUUGAAUAUAUACAUUACAUUUGAAAAUGUGGGAAAAGUUUACAUCACUACAAAAUAAGUACAUUCCAACUAGGUUGACACCUACUUAUUUGUCAAUCAUUUGUACUUUUCAACCACAAAAAAUAAAAAUAAAAAUAUGACAUACAUUUAGUAAAAUAUUUUAAUCAUUAUCUUUUGGCGGUGAUGGCGAACUAUCGCAAAUCCAUGAAGAUCUUGAUGAUUUUAGUUUUUCCAUAUCGGUAAGCAUAUUUUCUUCUUGAAUAGAAUCAAAUAUCCUUUUAUCUGCUAUUGCCCAGUCUUUCACACAUAUAUUUGCUUCAAUAGAAUCUGGCGCUAAGCUGCAUCGUUUAUCACUAACUACUCUUCCACCUGUACUAAAAGCAGCUUCUGAUGCAACUGUACUCACAGGAACUGUUAGUACAUCACAAGCAAUGAUAGAAAACACAGGAUAUUUGUUGUGUUGUUUGGAGAACUAUUUGUUGUCUUCUUUCGAAUUUUCAACAUUUCUAGAGCUCCUUUAUAAAAAGAUGAAGAGCUUGUAGAUGUAGGUGGUAAUUUAAUAAAACUAAUAUCAUUACCAUAUUUUUCUUUAUAAUAGUUAUAUAAAUUAUAUAAUAAUGAAUUUAUUUCAUUUUUAAUUUCUUCAAUUUUUAUUUGGUCAUUAAAAUAAAUAAUUGUUAACCAUUCAUCCAAAGCUUCAAAUUUCAAUCUAGGGUCCACAAUUAAACCAAAAUAAAAAAUUAAAGGUAUUUCUCCCCAAUAUUUUCUAAAUUUUUCUAUCAUUGCAAAUAUUGCAUCAUUAAAUAUAUCCAAAUUUAAAUAUUUUUGAAGUACAAUAAAAAUAUUAGUUAUUUGCAUGACAACUCGAUUUGAAGAUGGAUAAUAUACACCACAAAUUUUUUUUUGUUGAAGUAUCAAAUACUUCAAAACGAUCUCUUAAAAGAUCUGCAAUAUGUCAAUCAUAAUCAUUUAAUACAUCAAUAUCUACUUCACAAUCAUUGCUAAUUAAUUGUAUUUCAUAUAGUUCUAUUACUUUUCUAUAUUUUAUAAUAGUUUGUAAAAGUUUAUAAGUGGAAUUCCAUCUAGUGGGCAUAUCCAGAUUUAUAUUUCUUUUUUUCAUAUUUAACAUUUUGCAACAAUAAAAAAAUAAUUCAUGUUUUGCUUGAGAACUAUUAAGACCCGCAGCAAUGCCUCUAAUUUUUUAUAAUGUAUCAUCAACAUGUUUUAAUCCAUAUUUUACAAUUAAAUUUAAAAUGCGUGCACAACAAUGCACAUGAAAUAUUUUACAUUGAUCUUCUUUUAUUUGUCAAUAUCGUUUUAAUCUACAUACUACAACAUCAUUAUUAGAAGCAUUAUCACGAAUGCCAAAAUCUAUAAUUUCAUCAUUUAUUAAAGAUGCUAUAUUUUUACCAUUAUGUGGAGCAUUUAUUAUUUUAAAUGAAAUAAUUCUUUUAUUUAAUUUUCAUUCAUUAUCAAUAUAAUGAGCAGUUAUACAUAAAAAAACCUCUGUGAGUUAAAGAUGUCCAAAUAUCACAUGUUAAACAAAUUCUUCCUUCAAAAUUUGCAAAAAAAAAUUUAAAUUUUCUUUUUGUGUUUCAAAUUUUUUUAUAAGACUUCUUUUAACUGUAUUUCCAAAGCAACCUUGAAACUGAGGAUUAACAGCUCGUUGCAUUAUUCCCAUAUAAUCAUGAGUUUCUAUGAAAUUGAAAGGUUGUUAUGCUCUUAUUAUAUAACCAAUCAUUUCUUCACGACAAUAAGAUUCAUCAUAAGAAAAUGUUUUUAAAUUUCCACUUUCAUCUUUAUCUAAUUGCAUAUAAUUUCUAAUAUCUACAUUAUUUUUAGUUUUACAAUUUUCAUGAUGCCUUUUUAAAUGACUUGUACCUGUAUUUGAGCCACCACUAAGAAGUUUGUUACAAAUUUUACAUUUUGAUUUUAUUUUUUUAUUUUUAUUUUCUAAAUUUAUUUCUAUUCUAUAAAAAAUUCCAUAUAUUUGAAGUAAAUUUUUUUCUAUCACAUGCAUUAGAUGAAGAAUAAGAACCACUUGCCAUAAUUAUAAUUAUUGAUAAAAUAUUAUGCUAAAAAUAAUAAAUGUAAAAUUAAAAUGUAACAAAUAAAUAAAAGAAAAGGUGAAGUAUGUUACUAAAUUGGAGAACUGAAGCAAAAAUUCCUUCAAAUUCGAACUCUUUGAGCCACUAAUGCUUGUUUUUCACCAUCAAUAAUAUUGAAUAAUUUGAGACAAAAUGCAAUAAUUGGAAAUAUUGUGGAAUGGGAGAGAGCUUGACAGUUGAGAGAAUAAAAUAAAUUGAGGGUGUUUAAUACUUAUAGGGAGGUAUGUGACCGUUAGGAUUUAAUUUUUUUUUUUAAAUGCCAAGAUGACUGUUCAACGGUCAUGUGACUGUUGAACAGUCAACUCAUUUUUAUUUUUUUUUCAAAAAUCAUACAACAUUUCUAAUAUAUAUAUAACUAAUGUAAAAUUAUUACACAAAAGAAGGUCAGCUCAAUUGGUGGUUGGCUCUCCUUAAAAUCCAUAAGCCAAGGGGUUCGAAUCCCCCUCCCUUUCAAACUCAAAAGGCAUUUUAAUUUUUACCUAAGCCCACCCAAGCUCGUAGGCCCGCCCAACUUGAGGGCCCACGGGCCUUAGAUUUACCAAGGACCCGGCCCGACCAGCCCGUUGACUAGUCAACGGGCUCAGUGGCCCGCCUGGCCCGUUGGAGACCCUUAAAAUUUACUAUAACAAAAAUUAAUCGUAAAUCUAAAUAUUAUAAUAAUUCAAUAACAAAUUACACUAUACAAGUUAAACAUAAACUAUUACAUUUGAGAUAAUUACAAAAGAAUCAAGGUAAUUAUGAUUUUCAUUUCUUUGAAGUCUUUUUAGGAGUUCCAAUAGGAAUUAAUUUUUUCUGCAUCUAAAAAGGGAAAGGUGUGAACAUUUCUCGUAUGUUGAGUAAGGGUGUUUACACUCGAGGGAAAAUAUAAUAGUUUACAUUAUAUAAGAGCUUAACAUGAAUAUUAAAACACCAUAGUUAUCCACGAUUAAGACUGAUUAGAUUUUAAUGAGAUGAACAUGUCAAGAGUUUGAUACAUAACAUAGAAUAUUUAUUUAAUAUUAGCAUAUUUACGACCUAACAUAUUUAGGUUAAUUAAGUUAAUAACAUAGGGAAUUUCAAUUCAUUGGAACACUCACCUUAUGAAAUAUUUAAAAUAUAUAAAAGCAUAUGACUCACUAUAAUUAAAACUCAAAUAUAUGAAAUUUACACUCAUGAUAAUGAUCAUGUACACACAAUCAUAUAUAGUGCAAUUUUGUUUUCAAACUUUCACCAAAUGAUAUGUGUCCACACCUUAAUACACUCCUCAUUCAAAGUAUUCAUAGGAUAAACUGUCUUUCAUACAAACAAUCUUACUCUCUUUUUAAUUCAUUCUCUUGAAAGUCUUUUCGUUUUUUUUUUUUUUUUUUUCAUAAAUUGCCCUUUUUGGUUUUUUUUUUUCAUUUUCCUUUCCAUUUCAUACAACUAUUUCUUUAUUUUUCUUUCUAUACAACCAUGAAUGUAAAGUUAAUACAAUAUAAUAUUAUUGUUCAAUCUCAACUCAAAUAAUAAUACCCAAUGAUAUAAAACAAUUAUUUUAAACAUAUAACAAUACCUAAAAUUUUUGACAUUUUCAACACUAAUAAAUCACCAAUAAAUUUCAAUUCCACAUAGUUACUACACUACCACAUUGAAAUAGUUAAUAUCAUCAUCAUCAUCAUCAAUUAAUUUUUAAAAUUUCUAACAUGUCAACCAAUAAAAAAAUAUCAACUACUAUUCCAAUAAAUUCUAUUACAACCAACAAUCUUAAUAUUUUGACUCUGCAAUAAAUCUUCAUCUAAUUCCCAUUUAAAGGUUUUUUCUAAAACUAAAUCAUAAUAGGUUUAGGGUUUCCAAAAACAACCCAAAUGAAAGCCAUAUGAGGAUUUACUAUUGUUGUGUCUGUUAGUUCAAGAACACAAAGAUAAAACAAUCCAUACAAAAGUACAUGAGCUUUUAACAUGGUUUAUCUAACCAUGCUUACAUUCAAAGAUCGAUGAAAGAAAAUCAUUUUACUAUACCAUAAAUACAACUAUUAGGUUCCUGAAAGAGUGCAUCCCAUUUUUUCUCACAUCUCUAUCCGUCUCUUAUAGUUUUUACAAGUCUAUUUCAAUCUCAUAACUUUUUUUUUCAUGACUUAUAAUAUUUAUAGAGUUAUUCCUAAUAACUUUCCUUAUUAAAUAAGGAAAUAUAAUAUUAUAAUAAUAUAUCAACUUAAGAAUUAUUAUAUAUAAUAUUCUUUACAAAAAUGAAUUUAUUCUAAUUAGGAAUUUAGGAUAUUUUCCAACAACCUCUACCUUAGAUCAAAUUUCAUUGAGUCAAUUUUCCAUUUCUCUAUGACACUUUUUGUAUCACAUCAUGACGAGAGACCAAUUAACUUCACCUUCAACUAAAUUCCUUUUGCCAUCCUCUGUGUGCUAUGUUACCUUUGAUUCUUCCAAAAAUCUUCAUCUUGUGCUUUGAUAUUAGUUUGUUGUUAAGAACCAUGACAAAAUAAUAAUAAGGGGAAAAGAAUAAGAGAAUGAAAACAUAAACACACAAAGCACACAACGAUUUACAUGGUUUGACUUAAAGCUUACAUUCAUGCGAAGAGAUUACAACCUUAGAGCUCUCAAAUCCCAAAGUCCCAAGUACGCCUAUAAAACCAAACUCACUUUUUAGUCAUAUCUCUUCCUAUAUAUUUUUCUAAUUACAUCGGAAGAUUUCAAAUAGGAAGCUAAUUUUAUAAUUGUUAAAUAUGCAUUUCAUAAUACGAUAUUUCGUUUAUAGUAAUAGAAAACUCCUUUACAAGAAUAUUUUCUAUUAAGAAGUUAUAAAUGACUUUCCAAGUGGCUCAAAAAAAUAGAAUCUGAAAUAUUUUCAAUAAUCUCUACCUUGAAUCAAAUUUCAUGAAGUCAAUUUUCUAUCUUUCCAUGAUAGACAUUUUUUUUUUAAUGAUAUCCCAAAGAGAGAACAAUCAACUUCACCUCCAACUAAAAUUCCUUUUGUCAUCUUCAUGUGUUUUGUUCUCUUUGGCUCUUCCAAGAAUCUUCACCCUAGGCUUUGAUAGCAGUUUGUUAUGUCAAUAAAAGCUUUAAUACAAACAUGUUAGUUCAAGAACACAAAGAUAAAACAACCACACAAAUAUGUACAUGCUGUUUUAACGUGAUUCGACUAAUCAUACCUAUAUCCACGGAUAAGAGAUAAUCAUUCCACUAUACCAUAGAAAAUAUUACAAAGGAUAGCAAUAGUUAUCUAAUAAAUUUUUUAAACAUCUCAUGUUUCUCCACUCCUUAUAUCUUCACCCUAAGCCUUUUGCUCAAUCCACUAGGUACUUCCCAUUUUUCCUCACAUCCCUAUGCAUCUCCAUCUCAUAUAAUUUUUACAAGUCUAUCUCCAUCUUAUAACAUUUUCCCUUACGACCUAAAAUAUAUAUUGAAGUAUUCCUAAUAAUCUUCCUUAUUGAAUAAAGAAAUCCAAUAUUGUAAUAAUAUAUCAACUUUAUAAAUAUUCUAUAUAAUAUUUUUUUUAAAAACAUUUAUAAAAAUUUGAGACAUUUUCCAACAACUAUUAUUAGCAUUUUUUUAUGAAGUCCAUGUGUCCUUUAAGUUUGAAAUAUCAAUUAUUGUUUAAUAAAUAAAUAAUACUAACUAAAAUUCUAUUGGUCUGUUUUGAGAAAUUUUUUGAUAAUUAACUGCUUACUUUGAUGGAAAGUGGGAUAAUGAGUGUUUCUGGGACUUAUACUCUCUCUACCCAAAAAAGAGAUAUUAAUUUUUCUCUUUAUCAGUAAAACAUCUAUCAAACGUAAGGGGUCAAAAAGAGAGAAACACAGUUUGCUGUUACAGUUGAUUUUCUUCAAUAAAUCUCUCAUAGAUCAAAGUAUGUUUUCUCUUCUCAAUUUUCUGUUGUGAAAAUCAUAUUGUUUUACGAUAUUUGAAUAUUAUGAUUUAUGCAAAAGUUAGAGUUUUUAUCGUUUUGUAUGAUGAGAAUUUAAUAAAUUACUCAUGAAUAACUCAGUAACUCACCCACUUUCACUUUGUUAAAGGUUUUUUUUCUUUCCUUUAUUUAUUUAUUUUUAAUCACCACAUCUCCUGGUAUCAAAUAGGUUGUUUUGAGCUGAAUUUCUCAUUCAUCCAUACCUAGUUUUAAUCAUAUAAAUAUACUAGUUCAGCUCGACACAUUCUACAGUGGUUCCACCUUAAAAUACCUGUCAGGAGCCCUUUUUUUUAUUCAUAAACCCGAAGAUCCACCGAACAACGUAAACCCACAAAGUGAUCAUCAGGAUAGCUGGCCUGCGUUUAGACAUGCAUGAGGAGAGGAUAUACAUCAAAAACCUGUGUUCACAUGUUAAUGAGCAAAGGAUGUGUAUAAAAUUUUGUGUUCACAUAUGCGUGAGGAAAGGUUAUAUAUAAAAAUCUGUGUACAUACAUGCAUGAGGACAGGAUAUUUAAAACCCAGAUUGACUAUUGAACAAGUACAUAUAAAAAUCUGUGUUCAUAUAUGCAUGAGGACAGGAUAUUUAAAACCCAGAUUGACUAUUGAACAAAAAAACGUGAAAUCUAAUGUCAUAAUGUUGGUGCAAUCGGUGCAAAUUAGCUUAAUUCAUUUGCCAGUUGCCGCAUCUGAGUCCUUCCUCAGCUCAGAUCAUCCAGCUGGCUUUCACGUAAACCCCAAAACCUACACAAAAUCAAAGAGAUGGGCUUUGAAAUGAAUACCAGGGGCCAAAAUCUUCAUAACGCAUCAAAAUUUUUAGGUGGCAUAUGACAAAAUCCCUUUAAUUUCCGCUGUCUUGCUCUCACCCACAUUUUUCAUCUCAUAGUGCCCCUCCAGCCCUAUAAAUUCUGGUUCAGGAAAUGCUAGCAAUCCAUAUCCGUUCUAGUCUUUCUAGCUAGUGAAAAUGAAUUACAAGGCUUUCGUUUUCCUCAGUCUUUUAUUUGCAGUCGAUAUUCUGGUCUCUUCUGUGGUGUUGGCUGAGACAUCUAUAGAUGAGAAAAAUCGUUAGUAUAGCUAUUUCUUCCCCUCUCCUUGUUUUCCCUGUUUGCCCGAAAACCUCUUUUUUUUUUCCUUUCUGUUUCUUUUGUUUUCUGAAAUAACUGGUUUCAUGCAAUCUUCAGAAAAAUCCAGUGCAUUUAAAAGAAAAUGAAAGAUUUUCAAUUUUACGUGUCUCUUCAUUCAGCUGUGCUAUAUUUUCGAUCUGAUAUAUAUUAUUUUGCUAAACAGAACAAAUUCCUGAUUAAAUGUAGAAAAUAACAAUUUUUAUCAACAUGUUGCAGAGGAUAUAAAUCAGCUAGAUGAUGCAAAUGCCAGGUGUCAACAAGGUUGCUGCGGUGGCUAUGGCAGAUUUGGAUGCAUGAGGUGUUGCUCAAAUGCUGUUGAAGCUGGAACCAUGGUAGCCGAACCUCAAAAACGUUAGUAUCCAUAGACAUUCUGCUCCUGUUUUUUUCAAUUUUGCAUGGUAUCAAGGGAGGAGGGAAAAAAAAGUCAUGGGAAACAAUUCCAUGGACUCUAUUGAUUAAAGGAUCGAUAUUUUUCUAUAAAUUUAGAAUUGCAGCAGAUUGCAUACGUUAGAUUGCAUAAAUUUAGGAUCAAUUUUGUAAUUGUUGAUUAUAAUACAUGAUGGGCCAUGCACAAUUUUCAAACUCAAUAUAGAAUAUAACAAGUUUUGUUUAAUCUUUUCAGCGGAAGCAAACCAUGUAGAUGAUGUAANNNNNNNNNNNNNNNNNNNNNNNNNNNNNNNNNNNNNNNNNNNNNNNNNNNNNNNNNNNNNNNNNNNNNNNNNNNNNNNNNNNNNNNNNNNNNNNNNNNNNNNNNNNNNNNNNNNNNNNNNNNNNNNNNNNNNNNNNNNNNNNNNNNNNNNNNNNNNNNNNNNNNNNNNNNNNNNNNNNNNNNNNNNNNNNNNNNNNNNNNNNNNNNNNNNNNNNNNNNNNNNNNNNNNNNNNNNNNNNNNNNNNNNNNNNNNNNNNNNNNNNNNNNNNNNNNNNNNNNNNNNNNNNNNNNNNNNNNNNNNNNNNNNNNNNNNNNNNNNNNNNNNNNNNNNNNNNNNNNNNNNNNNNNNNNNNNNNNNNNNNNNNNNNNNNNNNNNNNNNNNNNNNNNNNNNNNNNNNNNNNNNNNNNNNNNNNNNNNNNNNNNNNNNNNNNNNNNNNNNNNNNNNNNNNNNNNNNNNNNNNNNNNNNNNNNNNNNNNNNNNNNNNNNNNNNNNNNNNNNNNNNNNNNNNNNNGUGGUCAUGGAGGAGGUGGAGGCAGCGGUCAUGGAGGUGGUGGAGGUGGAGGUGCUCAUGGUGGUGGUGGAGGCGGUCAUGGAGGUGGUGGAGGUGGAGGUGCUCAUGGUGGUGGUGGAGGCGGUCAUGGAGGUGGUGGAGGUGGAGGAGGUCAUGGAGGCGGUGGGGGAGGAGGUGGUCAUGGAGGAGGUGGAGGUGGUGGUCAUGGAGGAGGACAUGGAGGAGGUGGCGGAGGAGGAGGCUACGGAGGAGGAAGUGAUGGCCAAGGAAGCAACUACAGUGUAAAUGGAAGGAAGAUGCUGCAUUAAUGCAGACACAUCUCAACCACUUCGACCCUACGUGUUUAAGUGCAGCCAUGCACUCUACUCCCUCUAUAUGUAAUGUACUAGGAUGUAACGUAAUAAAAAUAUGAAUAAUAUGCAUGUGGGUUCUCUCUUUUCUUUCCAUCCGAUCGUGCCCCAAUUUCCUACUUUUAUCUCUCCUCAAUUAACUACUAC